This 441-nucleotide long non-coding RNA is filed under the name Felis catus (domestic cat). RNAcentral describes it as "lncRNA (ENSFCAG00000043653.2)". The record is from RNAcentral. Lineage: Eukaryota; Metazoa; Chordata; Mammalia; Carnivora; Felidae.
CUUGUUUACACCAAUGUUCUGCUGGCAGUUUGUAAAUCAUUCUCUCCAGCAGGCUCUGACACAGAUUUGAAGUUUGUUUCUGUUUUAUAGGAGUUGGGUUCAUCUCUAGCUAUGCUAGAGGGUUAGAAAAAUUAGAUGAAUGAGCCAGGGGAGACCUCUUCCCUGCACACUUCCGCAUCAUGAAUGAUCGUCACAAUUGACAGGGAUUGUGGAGACUGCAUUUAGCUCCAGGAGCUAGAAACAUAAAUUAAACAGACCCUGCCCUCAAGGGACUUCAAGUCUAAUAGGAGAGGUGGACAAAUGCCUAUCGUUUAUACUCAUGGAAAGCCAGGAAAAAAAGGAAGAAGAAGAAGAAGAGAAAGAAGAUAUGGAUUCAGUUUCAUUCUUUUGUUGGGAGGAGUGAGUCAGGCUGAUGGUAGCAGUGGCCUCCAAAAAGUUUGA